CCUACGGGUGACAGCAGUGGGGAAUAUCGCACAAUGGGGGAAACCCUGAUGCAGCGACGCCGCGUGAAGGAAGAAGUAUUUCGGUAUGUAAACUUCUAUCAGCAGGGAAGAAAAUGACGGUACCUGACUAAGAAGCCCCGGCUAACUACGUGCCAGCAGCCGCGGUAAUACGUAGGGGGCAAGCGUUAUCCGGAUUUACUGGGUGUAAAGGGAGCGUAGGCGGUUUAGCAAGUCAGAAGUGAAAGCCCGGGGCUCAACUCCGGGACUGCUUUUGAAACUGUUGAACUAGAGUGCAGGAGAGGUAAGUGGAAUUCCUGGUGGAGCGGUGAAAUGCGUAGAUAUUAGGAGGAACACCAGUGGCGAAGGCGGCUUACUGGACUGUAAAUGACGCUGAGGCUCGAAAGCGUGGGGAGCAAACAGGAUUAGAUACCCCGGUAGUC
This 440-nucleotide ribosomal RNA is filed under the name uncultured bacterium. Its description in RNAcentral is "partial 16S ribosomal RNA". It matches the Rfam family "Bacterial small subunit ribosomal RNA", at positions 338 to 795 of the family's 1533-position model. The record is from RNAcentral.